Molecule: non-coding RNA, 531 nt
Organism: Danio rerio (zebrafish)
Lineage: Eukaryota; Metazoa; Chordata; Actinopteri; Cypriniformes; Danionidae
Source: RefSeq, a predicted model, not a curated record
GCAGAUGUGUGGACACGACAGCUAUGAGCCAAACUUGGGACGUUUGGUUUUUAGCAGGUGGAGAGACCGUCUGGGCAGCAGAAACAAGACAACUAAUCAUAGUCAUUCUGUUCUCCUGGUGGUGAGGAUGUGCAGAGGCUGUAUUUGUGCAGCUGUAUUCACACAUACAAGUAGCCGACAAAGAGUUCUGGAGCAGGACAGACAGAUUGGUGUACGCUGAUGGUCUGCUGAGAAUUCUGCUGCGUUGAAGGGAUCCUCCUGUCAAGACAACCUCUCCAAAGAACAAUAGGACUAGGUUCCCACUACAAGGAUUAGAUUUGGCUACUGCAGUCCCGGUUUGGACCAGCAUCAGUUGUGAAGACUAAAGAUGAAGAAAACAUACAAGAACAAUUUCGAGGAUGGCGACACACUUUUUAUUCCACCUAUAUAUCCCCUUUUAUGUGGAAGCAACAUUCCACAAGAUAAAACAAAACUAAAUGACAGGUUAUUUCUUUUAAUUUUGUCUGUUUUCUUGGAACAUUGUACACAAUU